RNAcentral lists this long non-coding RNA (2761 nucleotides) under Callithrix jacchus (white-tufted-ear marmoset). RNAcentral's name for it is "lncRNA (ENSCJAG00000083306.1)". Lineage: Eukaryota; Metazoa; Chordata; Mammalia; Primates; Cebidae. The record is from RNAcentral.
AUGUAUAUCCCAAAUUGUGUUUCUCCAUUUAUUGUCAAUGGAUACUUGGGUUGCUUUCAACUUUUGGCUAUUGUGAAUCAUGCUGCUGUGAAUAUGAGUGCACAAAUAUGUGUUAGGGUCUCUGCUUUCAAUUUCCUCAAAUAUGUACCCAGAAGUGGACUUGCUAUGUCAUAUAGUCAUUCUACAUUCAGUUAUUAUUGUUUUUGCUUUUGUUUCAGAGGGGGUCUCACGCCAUUGCCUGGAAUGAAGUGCUGUGGUAUGAUCAUAGCUCACUCCAGGCUUGACCUCCUGGGCUCAAGCAGCGCUCCCACAUUCUUAGUUAGGACUACAGACUUUCAAAUUAAGUCUCUGAGUGGACGUCCAACUUGUUAAUUCCCAGCACCAAAAUCUGAGCAACCCACUGCACCAGCUAAAACAGUGAUGUCAAGAUUCUUGGUGCUUUUCUGCCCGGGAGUCUCGGGUCUGGCUUCCCUCCUGAAUCCCUUCCUGAAUCAGCUGAAUGGGCGACUCUGCCUUCCUGGAGCUCCAAACAUUGACCAAAAAGGGACUCAGUCCCAUUUACUCUGCACCAAGAACCACCGUGCCAGCCACAAGAGUCGCGCUGGUGGCCCAUGGGGCUCCUCCACUGGGAAUCUCCUGGUCCAUGAGCAACAAAAUUUCAUCUGAAAGUGUGGUGUCCUCUCGUUCUCUGCACUUUCACUGGGAGCUACAAGCCUGAGCUGCUAGUGAUCGGCCAUCUUGGAUCUCUCUCCCCGUCAACUCUCUGGUGGGUUCUUAAGAGUAUCUUUUUAAAAGAAAGAGGAAGGAUGAAAGAAGGUGAAGAAGGAAGGAAAGAAAGGAGGGAGGAAAGAACGGAGGGAAGAAGGAAAGAGAAAGAGUGGAAAGAUACGUUGUAAAUGUAAAAUGUUCAUACUUUAAGGCACAUAAUUUGUGCAAAGUAAAUAGGAUUUGUUGCCUGUGACUAACAGUACUUGCCUCACCUCCAUUGUUUCUGAGAAAUGAAGGCAUUACCAAAGUUGUAUAUUCUGGGACAUGUUUGGAUAAUAGCAACUUUCCUUGAGAUACAACAAAGAAUUUACUCUAGAAUUAAGACAGAGUCAAAAUGUUAAUGUAUUUUGGUCACCUUACUAAGCAGAGUUCAUUACGCAGCCACAUUGCUGCAGGCUGCUCCUGCCAAAAGAAGCAUGCAAGGGACUAGAAGGUUCAGGCCCAGACUGUCCCUAAAGUGUCUGAGACCUGAGUUAGGCACAGGGAUUCACAUUAGGGUAAAUCCAAACGUGAAAGUAGAAUGUAGGAAGGCCUGGGUCUGCUCCUUAGAAAAAGUCAUUCAAUUCCUGUCGGGCUCUAUUUCCUCCCCUAAAAAAAAAGACAGACUGUAAUUUUGGAUUAUGAUGGUUGCAUGUGCCUGGUAUAAAGAAGAAAAUUAUUUUUUCUUUUCUUUUUUCUUUUUUUUGAGGGGGGAGAUGGAGUGUCUCUCUGUAACGCAAGCUGGAGUGCAAUGGCAUGACCCAGGCUUACUGCAACCUCCACCUUCUGGAUUCAAGUGAUUCUCCUGCCUCAGCCCCACCAAGUAGUUGGGACUACAGGCAUGCAACACCACAUUCGGCUAAUUUUUGUAUUUUUAGUAGAGAUGGGGCUUCGCCGUGUUGGCCAGGCUGGUCUCAAACUCCUGACCUCAGUGAUCCACCCACCUCGGCCUACCAAAGUGCUGGGAUUACAGGUGUAAGCCAUCAUGCCUGGCCCAAAGUAGGAAAGUAACCUAUAUUCAUUUUCUUACCUCUUCCCUCCUUCACCUCCACAAAGGGGAGAACUGCUCAUCACGCUCACCUAGGGAUGAGUGUACCUUUUCCUCCUCCUCAGAGAAGAUUUGAAAAUGGAUGACAGGAAAUGGAUCUGUGGGUUUUGAGGGCAGACAGAGCACCUUGAUCCUGCAUGGCCACUUACUGUUUGUGGGACCUUGAGCAAAAGAUGCAACUUAUCUGAGCUCAGUUUUAGCUGUCACAUGACAAUAACAGCUCUUUAGGUUUUUUCAAAGCUUACAUGAAAUAAGACAUGAAGUAAUUUAAGUGUUAAGCACAUGGGCCAUGCGCCAUAAAGACUGGGUAUCAUCAUGUACUUGGCUCAGAAAAUGAGGGCCAUUAUUAUUAUUAAUUCAUUUAAAACAUGAAUUAUUGAGGUAAAACCAUCGUCCUCUAUAUGGGGUUAUGGUCUCAUUUUUUAAAAUCCGAUGUCAACCAGUAAAGACUUUAUUUUUAUAUCAGUUGGCAGGUGUCCCCAGGAAUACCAAUCAGAGCUGUUACUGUGCCCUGGCAUGGGAGUUCCCUGACAGCUGUGGGAACAGUCGGGUAGGGGAUGGGGGAAGAGGUGAGUGGAGUGAUCCAGACUUCUGCUUGGAGCUGGGAUCUGCAAUCACAGCCCAUGGAAAUUACUAGGCUUACUUUAGCAUUCAUUCAUUUGUUUAAUAAAUAUGUACUGAGCACCAACAAGCAUUGUUUGGGAUUUUGAAUGGAGCACAGAAGAGACUCCUGCCCCCUCAAAGUUUAUAAUUCAGUUGGAGAAACAGACGAUAAACAAGAAAGGAGCCCAAUAAACUGGUAAUUACCAAGUGUUAUGUGUUAUGAUGAAAAAAAUGGGGUUUUCUGGGAGAAUAAUAAAAGUGGGAGAAUUUAGUUCAGGGACAAGGAAGACCUCUCCAAGAAAGCGUUCUCUGAGUCUGAAAGAAGAGGAGGAAUUAGCUAAGUGGCAAGUGCCCUCCCCACCC